RNAcentral lists this ribosomal RNA (425 nucleotides) under uncultured bacterium. RNAcentral's name for it is "bacterial SSU rRNA". It matches the Rfam family "Bacterial small subunit ribosomal RNA", at positions 354 to 796 of the family's 1533-position model. The record is from RNAcentral.
GUGGGGAAUCUUGCGCAAUGGGCGAAAGCCUGACGCAGCCAUGCCGCGUGAAUGAUGAAGGUCUUAGGAUUGUAAAAUUCUUUCACCGGGGACGAUAAUGACGGUACCCGGAGAAGAAGCCCCGGCUAACUUCGUGCCAGCAGCCGCGGUAAUACGAAGGGGGCUAGCGUUGCUCGGAAUUACUGGGCGUAAAGGGCGCGUAGGCGGACAGUUUAGUCAGAGGUGAAAGCCCAGGGCUCAACCUUGGGAUUGCCUUUGAUAGUGGCUGGCUUGAGUACGGGAGAGGUGAGUGGAACUCCGAGUGUAGAGGUGAAAUUCGUAGAUAUUCGGAAGGACACCAGUGGCGAAGGCGACUCACUGGCCCGUUACUGACGCUGAGGCGCGAAAGCGUGGGGAGCAAACAGGAUUAGAAACCCGUGUAGUCC